This 91-nucleotide transfer RNA is filed under the name Streptomyces fuscichromogenes. Its description in RNAcentral is "tRNA-Leu". The record is from RNAcentral. Lineage: Bacteria; Bacillati; Actinomycetota; Actinomycetes; Kitasatosporales; Streptomycetaceae.
CGGGGCCGGGGGCCGGAGCCGGCGCCACGCGCUGAGGCCGGGUGCCGGGCCCCGGUGGUUCGGGGCCGGGUCCCGAGUCCGGUGGUCCCGA